Molecule: non-coding RNA, 87 nt
Organism: Wilcoxina mikolae CBS 423.85
Lineage: Eukaryota; Fungi; Ascomycota; Pezizomycetes; Pezizales; Pyronemataceae
Source: the annotation of a GenBank genome assembly
GGCAAUGUGGUGCAAUGGCUAACACAUUAAGAAAACGGCAUUAUUGUCAUAUUCUUGAAGGUCCCGAUUCGAUACCAGGCAUUGCCA